This 435-nucleotide long non-coding RNA is filed under the name Homo sapiens (human). RNAcentral's name for it is "HSALNT0290389". Lineage: Eukaryota; Metazoa; Chordata; Mammalia; Primates; Hominidae. The record is from RNAcentral.
CCAGCCUAAUAGAUGAGGGCGUGGCCUGCGCGGCAGAGGGGGCGUGGCACCGUGCAGGGAACGCCCACUGGGUUACCGCCUGCUGAAUGCUCCAGGCCCCACGAGCCUGCCCCAUUUCACAGAUAGGAAAGCGGAGGCUCAGAGGUCACAGAAAUGGCCCAAGGUUUUACAGCGAGGAAGGAGCAGGGAGGAGAUUUGAUUCAAGAAUCCUUUCCAUUACCCCUCACUGUAAGCUGGAUGCGUUGAGGGAGGGUCGGGGGCGAUAGGGAGAGGUAGGAGAUUGAUGGAGCUGAACUCAUGAGACCCUUGGAGGCGCUACUUUCUGCCAGGAGUGGAAGCAGCCUGAGACCCUCACCAGAGGCAGAUGCUGGCACCAUGCUUCUUGUACAACCUGCAGAACUGUGAGCCAAAUAAACCUCUUUUCUGGAUAAAUGA